RNAcentral lists this ribosomal RNA (387 nucleotides) under uncultured bacterium. RNAcentral's name for it is "bacterial SSU rRNA". It matches the Rfam family "Bacterial small subunit ribosomal RNA", at positions 29 to 416 of the family's 1533-position model. The record is from RNAcentral.
AUUGAACGCUGGCGGAAUGCCUUACACAUGCAAGUCGAACGGCAGCACGGGAGCAAUCCUGGUGGCGAGUGGCGAACGGGUGAGUAAUACAUCGGAACGUGCCCAAUCGUGGGGGAUAACGUAGCGAAAGCUACGCUAAUACCGCAUACGAUCUACGGAUGAAAGCAGGGGACUCGCAAGAGCCUUGCGCGAAUGGAGCGGCCGAUGGCAGAUAGGUAGUUGGUGGGGUAAAGGCUCACCAAGCCUUCGAUCUGUAGCUGGUCUGAGAGGACGACCAGCCACACUGGGACUGAGACACGGCCCAGACUCCUACGGGAGGCGGCAGUGGGGAAUUUUGGACAAUGGGCGCAAGCCUGAUCCAGCCAUUCCGCGUGCAGGAUGAAGGCC